Molecule: long non-coding RNA, 201 nt
Organism: Cebus imitator (Panamanian white-faced capuchin)
Lineage: Eukaryota; Metazoa; Chordata; Mammalia; Primates; Cebidae
Exons: 3
Source: RefSeq, a predicted model, not a curated record
GAUUUGUGUUUUCCUAUCAUCAUGCUCCUUUUUAGCCAAUGAAUUAGUACUAUGAAGAUAUUCCAAACAAGGGAACCCUUCCCAUGCCAUAAAGUGAAGUAAAAUGGACCAUCAUUACAUCACAUUGAAAUUUAGAGAUCACUGUCUAGCAUGCAGGAAGGACAGCAUCAUGGUCUUUUUCUUCUUCAUCACUUGUGAGGC